UUGACUUCUACUAUGCUCUGAUAUCAGAAUAGGAUUCUUUUAUGUUUUACUCCUAUCGACUUAUUUGUUGUAGACGCCUUAUAUACUGCAGGUGUAUGGCGGGUCUGUGCACGUACAGGAUAUGCUUCCGCUGGUACUCGUGCGUGACAUGUACCCCGAUAGAAAGUACCAUAAAAGGAAAAAAGAAAAAAUAGAAAGUACAUUUUGGAUUAUAUUUGGAAUGACAUGUAAAUGAAUAAAAAGAAUAAUGUAAUAGCUAGUUUUAUUUUUGUUAGUUGAUAUCUUUCUUAUUCAAUCAUUGUUUGUAUGGUUCCUAUUUGGAAUGCAUUCUAUAGUUGUGUGCAAGGUUCCUAUUUGGAAUGCAUUCUAUAGGUUGUGAUGCCUUGGGCGGAUAAAAAAAACUCUGUCAUUUGGCGGAUCUGUACGUGUGUCCAGUAAUUCUUCCAUUGCAGGCCGGAGUCCUAAUAGACUUAGGUGGUAUCAGAGUAUAGAAAAAGUCUAGAUAACUAGGAUGGAUAACCAUAAGGACCUAUAUGAUGCCUCACUUCCUAGAGGGUCUCCCAUCCUUGGACUACUUUCGUCCUAGUAUGCUUAACUCACUUAACCUCUUGGACCUUAACCUCUUAGACAUAGCCAUCUCCCAAAAUGCUAUAGUCGGGUUAAGAGUUUUUAGCCAUAUUAUAUCUUAUAUAUAGGACUACCUGGGGGGCUCACAUUCUCCCAUCUUUUAAGUCCUGAUGUCCAGGCGAUUUGAGACUCAUCUCGCUAAACUUAACCGACUUUAUGGGGGAGCGGUGCU
This 799-nucleotide long non-coding RNA is filed under the name Ananas comosus (pineapple). Its description in RNAcentral is "long non-coding RNA (ACOM_LNC005293)". The record is from RNAcentral. Lineage: Eukaryota; Viridiplantae; Streptophyta; Magnoliopsida; Poales; Bromeliaceae.